Molecule: ribosomal RNA, 483 nt
Filed under: uncultured bacterium
Lineage: Bacteria
Description: bacterial SSU rRNA
Rfam family: Bacterial small subunit ribosomal RNA
Source: RNAcentral
GAUGAACGCUGGCGGCGUGCCUAACACAUGCAAGUCGAACGGAGUUGUCACCAUUGAAGUUUUCGGAUGGAUUGGUAACAACUUAGUGGCGGACGGGUGAGUAACGCGUGGGUAACCUGCCUCAUACUGGGGGAUAACAGCUGGAAACGGCUGCUAAAACCGCAUAAGAUCGCAUCACCGCAUGGUGAGGCGGUUAAAUAUCGAAAGAUAGGUAUGAGAUGGGCCCGCGUCUGAUUAGCUAGUUGGUGAGAUAAGAGCCCACCAAGGCGACGAUCAGUAGCCGGCUUGAGAGAGUGACCGGCCACAUUGGGACUGAGACACGGCCCAAACCCCUACGGGAGGCAGCAGUGGGGAAUAUUGCACAAUGGGGGAAACCCUGAUGCAGCGACGCCGCGUGAGUGAAGAAGUGCUUCGGCAUGUAAAGCUCUAUCAGCAGGGAAGAAGAUGACGGUACCUGACUAAGAAGCCCCGGCUAACUACGUG